Picea glauca (white spruce) is the source of this 119-nucleotide non-coding RNA. Lineage: Eukaryota; Viridiplantae; Streptophyta; Pinopsida; Pinales; Pinaceae. The record is from Rfam.
GGGUGCGAUCAUACCAAUGUUAAUGCAACGGAUCCCAUUAGAACUCCGCAGUUAAGCGUGGUUGGGCUAUAGUAGUACUGGGAUGGGUGACCUCCAAGGAAGUCAUAGUGUUGCACCCU